GAUGAACGCUGGCGGCGUGCCUAAUACAUGCAAGUCGAGCGAACAGACGAGGAGCUUGCUCCUCUGACGUUAGCGGCGACGGGUGAGUAACACGUGGAUAACCUACCUAUAAGACUGGGAUAACUUCGGGAAACCGGAGCUAAUACCGGAUAAUAUAUUGAACCGCAUGGUUCCAUAGUGAAAGACGGUUUUGCUGUCACUUAUAGAUGGAUCCGCGCCGCAUUAGCUAGUUGGUAAGGUAACGGCUUACCAAGGCAACGAUGCGUAGCCGACCUGAGAGGGUGAUCGGCCACACUGGAACUGAGACACGGUCCAGACUCCUACGGGAGGCAGCAGUAGGGAAUCUUCCGCAAUGGGCGAAAGCCUGACGGAGCAACGCCGCGUGAGUGAUGAAGGUCUUCGGAUCGUAAAACUCUGUUAUUAGGGAAGAACAAAUGUGUAAGUAACUAUGCACGUCUUGACGGUACCUAAUCAGAAAGCCACGGCUAACUACGUG
This 496-nucleotide ribosomal RNA is filed under the name uncultured bacterium. RNAcentral's name for it is "partial 16S ribosomal RNA". It matches the Rfam family "Bacterial small subunit ribosomal RNA", at positions 28 to 507 of the family's 1533-position model. The record is from RNAcentral.